Long non-coding RNA from Melanotaenia boesemani (Boeseman's rainbowfish), 102 nucleotides. RefSeq lists it as uncharacterized. The record is from RefSeq and is a predicted model, not a curated record. The transcript has 3 exons. NCBI's taxonomy places the organism in Eukaryota, Metazoa, Chordata, Actinopteri, Atheriniformes, Melanotaeniidae.
UAGUUGCUAGGAGCAGAGGGCUGCCAGACUCCAGCGCCCGGGGAGCAGUUGGGAGUUCAGGGCCUUGCUCAGUGGCCCUUAGUGUUUUUUUUUAGCUGAGUU